Small nucleolar RNA from Rattus rattus (black rat), 130 nucleotides. RefSeq annotates it as small nucleolar RNA SNORA17. The record is from RefSeq and is a predicted model, not a curated record. The transcript has a single exon. NCBI's taxonomy places the organism in Eukaryota, Metazoa, Chordata, Mammalia, Rodentia, Muridae.
CCUGCCCCAAGAGGCACUGCAUUGUGACUGCUGUGUUCUAUGUGCCUCAGUAGGUGACAAACAGGAGAGAAGUUAUAUUUAUGUUCAGUGAUCAACAGAUGAACAUCUGAAUAUUUAGUAGCCUACCAUU